This 68-nucleotide transfer RNA is filed under the name Marmota monax (woodchuck). RNAcentral's name for it is "tRNA.Ala". The record is from RNAcentral. Lineage: Eukaryota; Metazoa; Chordata; Mammalia; Rodentia; Sciuridae.
GGAUUGUGGCUCAGCGGUAGAGUGCUCAUCUUGCACGCGCGGGACCCUGGGUUGGAUCCUUAGCACCA